This 372-nucleotide ribosomal RNA is filed under the name uncultured organism. Its description in RNAcentral is "bacterial SSU rRNA". It matches the Rfam family "Bacterial small subunit ribosomal RNA", at positions 526 to 896 of the family's 1533-position model. The record is from RNAcentral.
CAGGGGGCUCGAGCGUUAAUCGGAAUCACUGGGCUUAAAGGGUGCGUAGGCGGACCGGAAAGCGUCCUGUGAAAUCCCACGGCUCAACCGUGGAACUGCAGGGCGAACUGCCGGUCUUGAGGAAGGUAGGCGCCGACGGAACAGUAGGUGGAGCGGUGAAAUGCGUAGAUAUCUACUGGAACGCCGAUGGUGAAGACGGUCGGCUGGGCCUUUCCUGACGCUGAGGCACGAAAGCGUGGGGAGCAAACAGGAUUAGAUACCCUGGUAGUCCACGCCGUAAACGAUGCACACUAGAUCGGAGCGGCUCUGACGCCGGUUCGGUCGAAGUAAAAGCACUAAGUGUGCCGCCUGGGGAGUACGGUCGCAAGGCUA